RNAcentral lists this ribosomal RNA (508 nucleotides) under Paenibacillus sp. RNAcentral's name for it is "bacterial SSU rRNA". It matches the Rfam family "Bacterial small subunit ribosomal RNA", at positions 8 to 495 of the family's 1533-position model. Lineage: Bacteria; Bacillati; Bacillota; Bacilli; Caryophanales; Paenibacillaceae. The record is from RNAcentral.
AGAGUUUGAUCAUGGCUCAGGACGAACGCUGGCGGCAUGCCUAAUACAUGCAAGUCGAGCGGACUUGAUGAGAAGCUUGCUUCUCUGAUGGUUAGCGGCGGACGGGUGAGUAACACGUAGGCAACCUGCCCUCAAGCUUGGGACAACUACCGGAAACGGUAGCUAAUACCGAAUACUUGUUUUCUUCGCCUGAAGGAAACUGGAAAGACGGAGCAAUCUGUCACUUGAGGAUGGGCCUGCGGCGCAUUAGCUAGUUGGUGAGGUAACGGCUCACCAAGGCGACGAUGCGUAGCCGACCUGAGAGGGUGAUCGGCCACACUGGGACUGAGACACGGCCCAGACUCCUACGGGAGGCAGCAGUAGGGAAUCUUCCGCAAUGGGCGAAAGCCUGACGGAGCAAUGCCGCGUGAGUGAUGAAGGUUUUCGGAUCGUAAAGCUCUGUUGCCAGGGAAGAACGCUCAGGAGAGUAACUGCUCCUGAGGUGACGGUACCUGAGAAGAAAGCCCCG